This 21-nucleotide microRNA is filed under the name Cordylochernes scorpioides. Lineage: Eukaryota; Metazoa; Arthropoda; Arachnida; Pseudoscorpiones; Chernetidae. The record is from RNAcentral.
UGAUUUACCAAUGCGGAGUUU